Molecule: non-coding RNA, 29 nt
Filed under: Mus musculus (house mouse)
Lineage: Eukaryota; Metazoa; Chordata; Mammalia; Rodentia; Muridae
Source: RNAcentral
UCCCAGAGGAGUCUGUAAAGAAGUAAAAG